RNAcentral lists this ribosomal RNA (500 nucleotides) under uncultured bacterium. Its description in RNAcentral is "partial 16S ribosomal RNA". It matches the Rfam family "Bacterial small subunit ribosomal RNA", at positions 28 to 523 of the family's 1533-position model. The record is from RNAcentral.
GUUGAACGCUGGCGGAAUGCUUUACACAUGCAAGUCGAACGGCAGCACGGACUUCGGUCUGGUGGCGAGUGGCGAACGGGUGAGUAAUGUAUCGGAACGUGCCCAGUCGUGGGGGAUAACGUAGUGAAAAUUACGCUAAUACCGCAUGCGAUCUAUGGAUGAAAGCGGGGGAUCGCAAGACCUCGCGCGAUUGGAGCGGCCGAUAUCAGAUUAGGUAGUUGGUGGGGUAAAGGCCCACCAAGCCAACGAUCUGUAGCUGGUCUGAGAGGACGACCAGCCACACUGGAACUGAGACACGGUCCAGACUCCUACGGGAGGAAGCAGUGGGGAAUUUUGGACAAUGGGCGAAAGCCUGAUCCAGCCAUUCCGCGUGCAGGAUGAAGGCCCUCGGGUUGUAAACUGCUUUUGUACAGAACGAAAAGGUUUCUACUAAUACUAGGAGCUCAUGACGGUACUGUAAGAAUAAGCACCGGCUAACUACGUGCCAGCCGCCGCAGUAA